GUUCCCUUUUCCAACUGCCUCUGACCUCACGCCCGCUCAUUUGCAUACGGGAGCGCGCGCGCGCAGGCGGCCCCGCCCACUUCGGAGCGCGCGCGCCUGAGAGAGAGAGAGACAGAGAAAGCCGGCAACCGCUCUGCUCCCCUCCCUCCCUUUUUCCAUCCCUCCCUCUUCGACCAACCGUCCGCUUUCCUCUCAGAGCCGUUGCCCGAAGGCUGCCGGGCUCUCCUUCUCCUGCCAUUGACGCGACAGGGAGAACCAAGAAGAGGAGGAGGGUCGCUUUGUGUGGGCAAGGAGAAGAAUGGGGCUCCUGAGAGGAGCAGGGAAAGGCCUCCCCGUCCCGGAAGGCCGUGCGCCACCCUGAUGACACUGCCAGGAAGUUACUUAGAGCUAGAAGCCCGUGUGUCUUAGAGCUGCCCAAGAAUGCUUGUUUAUUUGAGGUGCUUUUUAUUAUUAUUACUAACUUGGGGACUCGGCGGUGCCCGGGUUGUUAGAAGAAAGCAUGGUUUGUUUUUGGGAUGUUAGGUAAUCUCACUUAAGUGUGGCCCAGAUCCGUCGUUGGCUGGGUUCAGUGCUGUCUGGAUAAGGGUGAACUACAACUCCCAGAUGCCCAGGGCAAUCAUCCCCAAACCCUUCAAGUAUUUGCAGUUGGCCAUGUUGGGUUUGUGUGCCAAGUUUGGUCCAGAUCAGUCCUCGGCUGGGUUCAGGGCUUUCAGGAUAAAGAUGAACUACAACUCCCAGAUCCAAGGUCAAUUCCCCCCCCCCCCACACACACACACACCAGGCCUGUAUGUACAGUUGGUCAUGUUGGGUCUGUGUGCCAAAUUUGGUCCAGAUCUGACGUUAUCUGGGUUCAGUGCAUUCUGGAUGCAGGUGAACUAUAAUUCCCAAAAUUAAGGUCAAUUCCCACUAACCCCUGCAGUAUGCUCAGUUGGUUAUGAGGCUUCUCUGUGCCAAAUUUGGUCCCAGUUCAUUGUCGGUGUGGGUCACAGUUUCUCUGGAUGUAGGUGAACUAUAACUCCCAAAAUCACUUUCCCACUAACCCCUACAGUAUGUUCAUGGGGCUAUUCAGUGCCAAGUUUGGUUCCAGUUCAUUGUCGGUGGGGGUCAUAGUAUCAGUGAAGGUACAGCAAGUCCUGGCAUCCAUGCAAGUUUGGUCCAGGUCCAUCGUUGGUUGGGUUCACAGUGCUCUCUGGAUGUAGGUACAAAUUCUGUAAACCAUGGUGAAUUCUCCCCAAACCUCUUGUUCAGUUGCUGAUCAAUUCCUCUAUUAACUGUGUGCCAUAGGAAAGGGUUAAGGUAGAGGCAGUGGGUGGGGUCAUGCAAAUUGAGGAACCCUGGGAUGUCAAUUCUGAAGGAAAAACAGAACAUCUAGGAUGAAAUUGUCCCCGCAUGGAAGCCUUCACUUGGGUGGGGGGCAGAAUGGUGUUUGUGGAGGACACUGGCAGAAUUUGGGCUACAUGUUCAUGGUGCUCACUACAGCCUGCAUUUCAGUGGAGGGAGGGCCAUGAGUGUCUCCUGCUCAGUGGGAACUAAAGUCUGUUUGUGGAGGCGAGAGGCUGUCUGUGUGAGCAGACACCUCUGACACAUACACAUUUUCACUUUUAUUAUGUGUAUCAAUUUAUUUAUAUUUAUGUAUUAUAUUUAUAUACCACUUUUCUCAUCCCGGGGGGGGGGGGGCAAAGUGGUUUACAACAUAAUAAGGGCAAAAUUCAAUGCCUUACAUACAUGUAAACCAAAUCAAACAUCUAAACAUUAAACACAUAGCUAUGCGUUAAAAUCAGUAAAACCAUUAAACAUAAGAUAUAAACAACAUUUAAACAUAAAAACAGAAUUAAAACACUUAAUUUAGACAAUUAAAACACAUUAUUUAUUUAUUUUAUUUAUAUUUUGCCCUUCUCACCCUGAAGGGGACUCAGGGCGGAUCACAAUGUACACAUACAUGACAAACAUUCAAUGCCAUUAGACAUACAUUCACAGAGACGAAGACACAGAGGCAAUUUAACAUUUUUGCAGCUUCCAGGCUUCAUGAGGGUAUGCUGGAUUCCGGCCACAGGGGGAGCUGCUGCUUCAUCAUCCACUGUGACACCGAGUCCUUGAUGGAUUGCUUCCUCAUUCCUUUCUGCAUGCUGCUGGAUGAUUUUUAUGGUGUUGUAAAUUAGUUAAAUUAGCCUCCCCGCAUAAGUGGUACCUACAUUUUCCCAUUUGAUAGAUGCAACUAACUUUCGAGUUGCUUCAGUCAACAACGAACUCGGCUAUUUUUAAUGGUCGGGAGCUCACUCCGACGCGAGCUGGCUUUGAACUCAUGACUCUCAGUCAGUAGUGAUUUAUUGCAGCUAGCUAUUAACCAGCUGCACCACAGCCUGGCCCAACUGAUGUAAAAUUGUAGACCGGGCCAUUCUAAUUGGCAAUUGCACAUAUUCAGUAUUUGUUUCUUGAAUUGUAUUACUUUGCUGGCCAAACGCUUGGUCCUACAACCAUGUCUUUGUUUUCUUUCUGAAGGCCAGGAGGGAGGGUGUUGAUCUAAUCUCACUGGGGAGAGAAUUCCAGAGCCGCAGAGCUACCACUGAGAAGGCCCUGUCUCUUGUCCCCACCAACUACACUUGCAAAGCAGGUGGAGCGCCCCUUCUCCGGAAUUUCUUCAAAAUGGUCCACAAACCGGGGAGGGGGGCUGAGAGAGUGACACCUUGGGCCCUUCCACACAGCCAUAUAACCCAGAAUAUCAAGGCAGAUCAUCCAUAAUUUAUGCUUUGAACUGAGCUAUCUGAGGCCCCUUCUACACAGGCAUAUAACCCAGAAUAUCAAGGUGGAUCAUCCACAAUAUCUGCUUUGAACUGAGGGCCCAUCCAUGCAGUCAUAUAACCCAGAAUAUUAAAGUAGAAAAUCCCACAAUAUCUACUUUGAAUUGGGUUACCAACAGCGCUGUGUAGUUCAAAGAGGCACUAAUGGAGGGUGAAAGGGAGAAAUGCAUCAAGAGAAUGGCACAUCAAGCCAACCCUGACCUGGACUGCCUUCAAUCUGGAAAUCAAUGUCCUCAAUGUGGAAGAACAUGCGGGUCAAUAAUAGGUUUUCACAGUCACCUGUGGAUCCACCGGCAAGACUCUACACUUGGAAGGCUAUCCUACACGAAUGAUCCUCGAUGAUGAUGAGUCUCAAAUGUGGCAACCUUCAUGAUGCCCUUGUAGUUCCAAUUUCAAACAUUAUUAAUCUAAAUUUCCCACUGGAGGCUGUGUAUCUCAAUAUAACGUGUCCUUAUGUCAUAUUUUGGGAGGUUCAAAUAUAUAUGAAUUUUUUUAUUCAACAGAAAUUGAACAACGUAUCACAGAUUACCUACUAAAUGCAGCUAAAUCCUGAUCGUUAUUAACUCUACCUCAUAACUUUCACUCAUAUUCCAAACUUUAUCAUUCAUAUCUCGCUUCCUUUCUCACUCAUAUCCUAUCUAACUCUGAUUGUGGCUCUAUCUAAUCUCUGUCUCUUAUUCUGACUGAUGACUUUAUCAGACCAGCCUAAUGUUUUAUCAAAAUUGGGUUAUUUAAGUAAAUGGAAACAAGCCAUUAUUGGAAUGAUCUCUUUCACACCUCAGCGUAAUUGUAUGAUGCUGGCACAUUAUUGAUGCAAAUCUCCAUGAUCACUCUUCUACACAGCCUUACUUUCUACCUGUUUAUUCUAUCCAACACCUGUGCGCUGUUCCCCCUCUUUUGCUGCAACUGUGCAGAUGUGCAGUUUUGGCAUUCUCGCAAAACCUUCAUCUGCUUCAUAAUCCUAGGGCCCCUUCUUCACUGCCAUAUAUCCCAGGAUCUGAUCCUAGAUUAUCUUUUUGUCCCAGAUUAUCUGGCAGGGGAGACUCAUAUAAUCCAGUUCAAAUCAGGUACUCUGGGAUCAGAUCUUGGGAUAUAGGGCAGUGUAUAAGGGACCUGUGUCUUAUAUUUAAAAUAUAUAUAUACACGGAAGGUUUUGAGGAGACGGCGCUAUGUUGUACUGGUCCCCAUACAUUUCGUUAUUUCAAUUAAAAUCUAUCCAUACCUCUUAUAAGGGGUUGGUUUUAACUUCAGGUUUGGGAGUUAACCUGAAUUGCUGUGUUGCGAAAUGAUGCGUGUCUAAAAAGUAUCACCAGCAUAAAAUGUUUAGAAAGCUCUGUUUUAAUGCUUUGAUUUUGUAUCACGCACAAAUUUAUUAGAUAUUGUGCUUAAAAUUACCUCCUUUGAGUUUCCUUCAUUACAAGCAUUUAUAUCCUGCUCUUUCUCUCUCAGAAGAGACUCAGGCUGAAUCUACACUGCCCUAUAUCCCAGGAUCUGAUACCAGAUUAUCUGCUUAUCCCAGAUUAUCUGACAAUGUAGACUCAUAUAAUCCAGUUCAAAGCAAAUAAUCUGGGAUCAAAUCCUGGGAUAUAAGGCAGUGUAGAUCCGAUCACAAAGCAGCUAAGAACUAAAAAUUGUGCAAUGUGUAAAUUAAAACAUUAAGCAUUUAAACAUUAUAAUGGAUUUUAAUGUUAAACUGUUAAAAAUACAGAAUUAAAAUUAAACUAUGAAUUAAACUAUGCAAAAAAUGUUACUCCUGGCUCGAUCUUUAAAACUUUCUUAUUUAAAAGCCUAUCUAAAAAUAAAGGUUUUAGCCUUCCUCCAGGAGGACUAUGUGUAUAAACUAUGUAUAAAAUAUCAAUGGAUUUCAUGUUUAGACUUGGGUUCCAUCUCUUAAGAUAUCAUAUUAUGUACGUAAAUGCAAAUGCAGGUGUUCCAAAAUCCAAAACAUUCCUGAUCCCAAACAUUUCGGAUCAAGGGUAUGCAGCCUGUCAUAGUACUAACCUACAACAGCCCCAAGCUCUUGAGAAAGAGAAAGUAACAGUGAUGGAACAGACUGGUACCUCAAAUUGGGGCUUUUAUUCUGUGGAAAAGGAUGUUGGGAACAAACUUUCCCAAGUUGGCUUGGGGACAACAACAGGACAAGAAAGGGAAGUGGGCAAAAACAGUCAAGUUUGCCACUCAAGGAAGCAAACAUAUUUGAACUUGUUUUUCAGUUAUAUAGUACUUACGUUUGUUAGAUUGUUACUUGACAAAAAGAAAGAUUUCUUCUAAGCACAUUAGAGUUGAGACUAUUGGCAUGUUCAUUCUAGUGUUUUCCAAGCAGCCUACCAUACACCCCAGUUUAAGAGUUAUCGGGACCCCCCCCCCCCCAAAUAUCCACUAAAAAAUCUGCUAGGACAUAGUAGACCACCUUCCCAGAAAGACAACUGGCCACCCACUGCUCUUUCCUGAAGUGUGCAAAGGGGAAUGUUGAGUGCUUUUCAAAACCAUUAUCUACAGAACUGCAGGUGUAGGUAGAGUCAGUCUUAGCCAGUUAGCACAAAUAUUACCCAUGUUCCAUUCAGAAAAAAGAGAUAGUCCUCCAUAUCAGAUCACCCUAGAAGCAAUAUUCUGAGGCACUGAUUCUCAGCCUUAGCUCUCUAAAUGUGUUUUUCAUUUCCCCUAUGCUCCAGUUACCAAGGGCAAUGACCUAGUAUUCUGGGAAUUGAAAUCCAAAAUAUUUGGGGGUCCCAAGAUUGAAGAACCUCUUAUCAGCAGAACACCAAAUUCACACUGGGUGAAGGACAUAAAUGCCAGGCUAGUGCUCCUUGAGAAACAUGUUUAUGCUUAGCAUACACUAGAAUCUUAUAAUAACAUGUUGUUUUGGCAGUCACUUUGAUGAAAAAUGUCAUUUGAUACCAUGCACCAAGCUCCAUUCUCAACUAACAAAUACGUUACCUUUCUUAAUAGACAUGCUAUUAACAGCAGCUAGAUUAUUAAUAGUAAAAUAUUGGAAAAGGGAAAUGACAAUACAAAUUGAUGAAUGAUAUAAAGAAGUCUGGAGGAUGGCGUUGAAUGAUAAACUAACAUCAAAUUUAAAAAUAAAGAAAGACUAUAGAAAAAUGAUUUUGAAAGUAUCUGGAGAAGAUUUUUAGAAAAAGUAUUGGAAAAAGAAGAUGGGAAUUUACCUCCACUGUGUGAUGACCCAUGGGCAAUGUAGUCCCAUUCCUGGCACUGUGGUGCCAGAUGAAGAGGAAAACUUGGGUUUUUCGCCGUUUCAGUCAGAAUUGGAACUUUCCCAGCCAGAUUUGGAAACCUUGCACCUGCAAGAGAUUUGUCUUCCAGAAGUCUGUCAAACAAGCCCUGAGCCUAAAUCUCCUACGUUUUCUCGCCAUGAUUUUUGUAAACAACAGAGAGGAGUCGAUCAGGCGUCUCGCAGGAGUGCUAGGAUAGCUGCUAAGCAUUCAGCUGAUUAAGCCUGCUUCCCAUGAGAAACUUUAGGGAGUCAUGCAUCUGGACUCAGAAAAUAGCUUUCGUUUCUGGUUCUCCAGAGAACUGCUCUUGGGCGGGAAAACGGGACCCUAUUUAGGUGUUUUACCCACAAAGGGAUCUUGCGGAGUCAAUUCGUCAGCAACCGGAGUAGCGUGUGUGGACAGCUACUCCGCUUCCAAGCCUCCGUUCCUGUCGCCAAGCCUUCGUUCCCAGCUUUGUUUACUCCACGAAUCCUGCCUUGCUUUCUAAGACUCAGCCUCGUCUUGUUUCCCGGAUUUUGCCAAGAAAUUACCACGGAUCUUGUUCUUGUUCCUUGUUUCCUUGUUGCCUUGAAUCAAGCCUCGUUUUCCCAAGAAUCAAGUUACUUCCUAGCCUCGCUCAAGUUUCACGGACUAAAAGACCUUGUCAUCUCCCCUCACUUUGCCUGGCAAAGUGAGUGUUUCGGUUAUUGGAUUACAACUUUGGACCUUAAUAUUUCAUAUUGGACAUUGUUUCUUUGGACUAAUUUUGACCUUUUCUGAAAGGUCUAUUUCUGGACUAUUUCAUACACUUGCUUUUAUUAACUUUAUAUAUUCCUUCAAUAAAGAUAUUAGUUAGA
Long non-coding RNA from Anolis carolinensis (green anole), 6867 nucleotides. RefSeq lists it as uncharacterized. NCBI's taxonomy places the organism in Eukaryota, Metazoa, Chordata, Lepidosauria, Squamata, Anolidae. The transcript has 2 exons. The record is from RefSeq and is a predicted model, not a curated record.